UAUCUCAGCAACGGAAGGUUCCAGUGUCCUUGGUCUGAGGCUUGUCCAUGUACAGCAAAAUCCCACUUAGAUUAGAAGCAAAGCAGAACCGGUUGUUGUCUUCCGAGCACUCAGUUCUUCAUCACUACUGUGAUCUUCGUCUGAUCCCCAAGUCCGUUGCAACAGCCUUGAAAUCUUUGGGUUGAGCGCAGAGCAGGAGGUCGAAUCAGGAACCUGGGAUUGAGGGAUGAUGGGUCUUGUCUCUGUCUAGCCCUGCAGAGUCGUUACUUCCCCGUGGCUCCAGGGUGCGGUCAUCUGCUGAUCUUCUCUUUGCAUCCUUGUGUUGCCUUGACUUCUGCACCGGAGACGAAGAACUUCUCUUCUUGUUUUCCAUGGUCUUAUAUACUCUUUCAACCCAUGACUUUGUAUGGGGAGAUGGCCUACGUGACUUCUCAAGCAUUCAAUUACUUCAUGGAAAGUCCCAAACAUCCCCAUACUUGGUCAAAGCCCUGUUCGCUUCCCCUUUUGUUUUUUUGUCUUCUGGCCUUCUGGUUUCUUCUUUUUCCCAGACUUCCUUUUAUGGAAUCUUCUGUAAGACAUGUCCAGGCAUGUCUUUUCCCUGCCUCUGUGCCUAACACACUGUUUGAUUAUUUCAAUUACAUUCCUAUAUAUGCUGCAUGAUUAUCAUAAACAUUAAACAUCCUUUAAUGUACUCUUUCAAACAUUACUCCCUUUAAUAAACAUUUGAUUUCAAUUCUAUUAUUAACCUUUAAUUCAUCAUUUUAUUCACCAUGUAUUUCAUUACUCGAUCAACUAACUUCUUUAAUCAUCAACGAAUCAACAUACAAAAUUAUCAAUUCCUCUUUUUGGAAUUCCCCUCAGACCAUUUAUUGACCCUGAAUUCUGUUCUAAUUAUAAGACAUUCUGGGAAUUACAUGUCCUUAUGCUCCAAACAAUGUAUGGCUACUCCAGUUACAAUUGUAUUUAUGCUUUUAUUCUAUUUAUGUUUUAUGAUCAUCAUAAAACAUUAAACACGAUUACCUUCUAAUUUGAUUCUUCAACAUAACCUCUUAAAAAUCGACACAACUUAAUUCACUUCAGCAGCUGAGAGGAAAGCAGAAAAUAUAUAUAUAUAUUUUUUUAAAUCAUCAAAUCAAGUUAAACUAUCAUCUCCUAAAGCUGAUGCUCUGAGAAAUUUUGGUGCAAUAAACUGGUUGUAAAUUACAGUGAUCCCUCAACUGGUGCAAAGGACACCCACAAUCCAUAUACCUGGUAAACAAAAUUGCUGCGAACAUCAAUUUUGAGAAUAAUGUAAAUUAAUUUGCCUAAACCCUUGUGACCUCAGGUUGACUUCUCUCCCGUCUUGAAGCUGAGCCUCCAACUGUUGCAAAACUCUGGUGUCUUUCACAGACUUUUGUGGGGAAAUAGCCUAGUGUAUUUCCUCAUCUCGUUCCUUGCAGCAGAAGAAUGCAUAAAGUGCUGUAAGAUGUCCUGGUAGAUGACUGCGUUAACUCUGGAACAACUUCACUCUAGACUUCAAGUAACAUGGAUGCUGUGCUUCUGCACUCUUCACCCAGACUCUGGGACCCCGAGGAGGUUCUGCAGUAAAGGUGCCAGAGUGCCAAACAGGCUGAGACCACCCCUGCUUGUAAUCCUAUAUUUGUUGCUGCUGCAUGUUUUUCCUACCACAUUUCUUCCUUCCAUAGAACUUUCUAUGUAAUAAAUUUUCACAUUCUAAUUUUCUGACACUGAAUUUUGUGGUUUUCAUUGUCAGUGAGCCAUAAUCACCAGAAUUACAAAAAAUAAAGGCUUUAGCUCUGUAUCAUGAA
Molecule: long non-coding RNA, 1808 nt
Organism: Xiphophorus hellerii (green swordtail)
Lineage: Eukaryota; Metazoa; Chordata; Actinopteri; Cyprinodontiformes; Poeciliidae
Exons: 2
Source: RefSeq, a predicted model, not a curated record